Molecule: ribosomal RNA, 546 nt
Filed under: Pichia kluyveri
Lineage: Eukaryota; Fungi; Ascomycota; Pichiomycetes; Pichiales; Pichiaceae
Description: eukaryotic LSU rRNA
Rfam family: Eukaryotic large subunit ribosomal RNA
Source: RNAcentral
AGCGGAGGAAAAGAAACCAACAGGGAUUGCCUCAGUAGCGGCGAGUGAAGCGGCAAGAGCUCAGAUUUGAAAUCUCACCUAGUGUGCGAGUUGUAAAUUGCAGGUUGGAGUCUCGGGUUAGACGUGUGUGCAAGUCCCUUGGAACAGGGUGCCACUGAGGGUGAGAGCCCCGUAGCGUGCAUGUCGACACCUGUGAGGCCCUUCUGACGAGUCGAGUUGUURGGGAAUGCAGCUCUAAGUGGGUGGUAAAUUCCAUCUAAGGCUAAAUAUUGGCGAGAGACCGAUAGCGAACAAGUACUGUGAAGGAAAGAUGAAAAGCACUUUGAAAAGAGAGUGAAACAGCACGUGAAAUUGUUGAAAGGGAAGGGUAUUGGGCUCGACAUGGGAUUUACGCAUCGUUGCCUCUUGUGGGCGGCGCUCUGGGUUUUUCCUGGGCCAGCAUCGGUUUUCGUUGCAGGAUAAGGACAAUUGGAAUGUGGCUCCUCGGAGUGUUAUAGCCUUUUGUAGAUGCUGCGUAUGGGGACCGAGGGCUGCGGCGGACUCGUU